GACGAACGCUGGCGGCGUGCUUAACACAUGCAAGUCGAACGGAAAGGCCCUGCUUUUGUGGGGUGCUCGAGUGGCGAACGGGUGAGUAACACGUGAGUAACCUGCCCUUGACUUUGGGAUAACUUCAGGAAACUGGGGCUAAUACCGGAUAGGAGCUCCUGCUGCAUGGUGGGGGUUGGAAAGUUUCGGCGGUUGGGGAUGGACUCGCGGCUUAUCAGCUUGUUGGUGGGGUAGUGGCUUACCAAGGCUUUGACGGGUAGCCGGCCUGAGAGGGUGACCGGCCACAUUGGGACUGAGAUACGGCCCAGACUCCUACGGGAGGCAGCAGUGGGGAAUAUUGCACAAUGGGCGGUAGCCUGAUGCAGCAACGUCGCGUGCGGGAUGACGGCCUUCGGGUUGUAAACCGCUUUCGCCUGUGACGAAGCGUGAGUGACGGUAAUGGGUAAAGAAGCACCGGCUAACUACGUG
This 468-nucleotide ribosomal RNA is filed under the name uncultured bacterium. Its description in RNAcentral is "partial 16S ribosomal RNA". It matches the Rfam family "Bacterial small subunit ribosomal RNA", at positions 28 to 507 of the family's 1533-position model. The record is from RNAcentral.